GCUGGGAGUGGUGGCACAUUCCUGUAAUCAAGGCCACUCGGGAGGCUGAGGCAGGAGGAUCAUGAAUUCAAAGCCAGCCUCAGCCAUAGCAAGACACUAAGCAACUCAGUGAGACCCUGUCUCUA
Molecule: small RNA, 125 nt
Filed under: Marmota monax (woodchuck)
Lineage: Eukaryota; Metazoa; Chordata; Mammalia; Rodentia; Sciuridae
Source: RNAcentral